UACGGAGGAUCCAAGCGUUAUCCGGAAUCAUUGGGUUUAAAGGGUCCGUAGGCGGUUUAGUAAGUCAGUGGUGAAAGUCCAUCGCUCAACGGUGGAACGGCCAUUGAUACUGCUAAACUUGAAUUAUUGGGAAGUAACUAGAAUAUGUAGUGUAGCGGUGAAAUGCUUAGAGAUUACAUGGAAUACCAAUUGCGAAGGCAGGUUACUACCAAUAUAUUGACGCUGAUGGACGAAAGCGUGGGGAGCGAACAGG
Molecule: ribosomal RNA, 253 nt
Filed under: uncultured bacterium
Lineage: Bacteria
Description: partial 16S ribosomal RNA
Rfam family: Bacterial small subunit ribosomal RNA
Source: RNAcentral